This 401-nucleotide ribosomal RNA is filed under the name uncultured Staphylococcus sp. RNAcentral's name for it is "bacterial SSU rRNA". It matches the Rfam family "Bacterial small subunit ribosomal RNA", at positions 38 to 427 of the family's 1533-position model. The record is from RNAcentral. Lineage: Bacteria; Bacillati; Bacillota; Bacilli; Caryophanales; Staphylococcaceae.
GGCGGCGUGCCUAAUACAUGCAAGUCGAGCGAACAGAUGAGAAGCUUGCUUCUCUGAUGUUAGCGGCGGACGGGUGAGUAACACGUGGGUAACCUACCUAUAAGACUGGGAUAACUCCGGGAAACCGGGGCUAAUACCGGAUAAUAUUUUGAACCGCAUGGUUCAAUAGUGAAAGACGGUUUCGGCUGUCACUUAUAGAUGGACCCGCGCCGUAUUAGCUAGUUGGUAAGGUAACGGCUUACCAAGGCGACGAUACGUAGCCGACCUGAGAGGGUGAUCGGCCACACUGGAACUGAGACACGGUCCAGACUCCUACGGGAGGCAGCAGUAGGGAAUCUUCCGCAAUGGGCGAAAGCCUGACGGAGCAACGCCGCGUGAGUGAUGAAGGUCUUCGGAUCGUA